RNAcentral lists this long non-coding RNA (43400 nucleotides) under Capsicum annuum. RNAcentral's name for it is "long non-coding RNA (CANN_LNC013223)". Lineage: Eukaryota; Viridiplantae; Streptophyta; Magnoliopsida; Solanales; Solanaceae. The record is from RNAcentral.
UUCAGCUUAAAACAAACAUUAUUGACAAGGGACUUUCCAAAAAAACAGCUGAUCUGCAUGCACUUGUUUAACCAGAGAUAUCAAUCGCCUUCACCUCAGGUUUCUUCUGCUCUUCUUUAGGAACAGUUACAGUGAGCACUCCAUCCUCCAUAGCUGCCUUAAUUUCCCCCAUCUUCGUAUUCUCCGGCAGCCUAAAUCUCCUUAAAAACUUGCCACUGCUCCUCUCCAUACGGUGCCACUGAUCAUUCUUCUCCUCUUGUUCUCUGCUCCUCUCACCGCUUAUCUGUAGUAUCCUUCCUUCUUCAACUUCGACUUUCACUUCCUCUUUCUUGAUCCCCGGCACGUCUACUUUGAAGAUGUGAUCUUGUGGGGUCUCUUUCCAAUCGAUUCUUGCAUUUGCGAAAGCAGAGGUUUCACGAGCUGAGGAGGGGGUGUUAGCGAUUGUGCUUGAAAUUGGGAAGCCUUCGAAUGGAUCCCAUAAGUCGAGGGAAAAUGGGUCGAAGAUGUUGCUCCUGCGACCAUCGAAGAAGCUUGGAAUCAGAGACAUCUUGGGGAAUUUGUUGUUUGAAGAAAGCAAAAGAUUGUAUUAUGAAGCUUGAGUUUUUCUUUGAUAGUAGUGUUUGAUUUGCUGAUAUAAAUUUGAGAAAAUGUUGUGCUAUUUAUAGGCGAUGAACCAAGAAACCUGUGUAAUUCCAAUAUAAUCAAGGAUGUUCACCAGAGAAUUCAACAAUAUUCUACAACUUCUUAUCCAAUUUGAGGCUAAUCCAGGAUGUUCUUUGGUUAAUUUUUAAUAGGAAAAAUAAGAGGCUUCUACAAUAUUCCAGAGAAUUUUUUUCUGAAGCGUUUAAGUCAUAAUUUCAGUAGUGCAUACAAAGGUAAAAUGACUCGGGAGGCUUUGUAAUUGACUCUGUUUGUUAGCUGAAUCCGUCCAACUCCCUCCACAAUUGUCAAUUGAACUCCUAAAUCUCCCGUGGUAAGCCCGGCCCAAAGUCAAGAUAUAAACAUAAUAAUGUAAAUUUAAAAAUAUAAUUUAUAUCAUAUAUUUUUUUACUUUAUAAUUAGUAUAAUCAGAUGGCAUAUUAAACAUAUCUUAUUGAUAAGUUUUCAUAAUUAGUAAAAUACUGAAUCACAUAAUUGGAUAAAUUUUUUUUAAAUCUAAUUUGUGAGGACGAAAAUAUUACCAGAGUAUUAUAAUAUAUCAAAAUGCUACAAGUAAUUCGAUAUUUUAUAAAAUAAUAUGAUUUAAAAUAUGUAAUAAUUAGGAUUCAAAGAAGAUCACAAUAGAAAAUAUUGAUAUUUUUAUAAAUUUGUGGGUACGUAAUUAUUUAGUUAUAUAUAGAAAUAAAUUAUAUUUAUUGAGUUUUAGUUUCUCUCGUGUGUGAUUUCAGUAGCAAGACUUUUACAACAUAUUCUUUUUCAUCUUAUAGAAUUAUCUGAAAUAAAAUAUUUCAAUGACUUCAAGAUUAUAUUAUAACAAUUAUAUCCUUAAUUUAGAGUCAUUAUAUAAAUUAACUUAAUAAUGAUCUAUAAGAAUAUUAAACAAUAAUUAAACUAACAUUAAUAGAUUACUCCAUUUGGUCGAUUUAGUUGUUAUGUAUAUUUUUAUAUGCCCCUUAAAAUAAUACCUAUUCACUCCAUUUUAAUUAUUUCUUUAUCUUUUUUCAUAUCCACCAAGAAUUAUAUUAUUUAUUAAGUUAUUUUAUGUAUUAUAUAUGUCUGGAGGGUCGAAUAUAAUAUUAGAAAAAUCUAUAAGGUAAUAGUUGAAAUCAUUAUAAAAUUUAAUUUUAUAUUAAGUUAUCUUGAAUAAUUUUUUUGAGUUAAAGAUAUUGUUGAAUUAAGAUAAAGGAAAUUUUAAUUAAAAGACAAUCUAGCAAGUGGCAAGAAGAAACCAAUUACAAAAUUUUAAAUCUAAUGAUCUUAACAAGAAAAAUAAGGGCAAAAAUAAAAAUAUAUUAAAAAAAUCACCAUCACUUGCUAUGUGUAAUAACCUUAUUUGACCAAAAAAAUAAAAUAUCAAAAAUGCCCUUGUGAAGACUAUCGAAAAUUGAUAUCCUCUCUUAUAUAUAGUAUAGUAGUAAUAUAUAUAUAUAUAUAUAUAUAUAUAUAUAUGAAGAAGCUUCAAGGUUUAAGUUGAAAAUCACCAAAAUAAAAAAAUUGUAUGGACUACAAUAGAUAAGAAAAAUAUCUUAGGAACACAAAAUCAAGGACUCGUACCAAUUACAAACAAGAUAGGAGUAGUAUUUGUUAUAUCUUGAGCAUUACCAGCCGAAGCUAUGGACUCAAAAUCUAUCACCCAAGACCCACAUCGUCACUUCGUUUGUUUCCUCCGAUCCAACAUUUAUAUGUGAUUAAGUUGCGUAGAGCGGCAGAGGUAAACCUUGCAUGGACCCUUACACUUUGUUUGGAUGGUGGUUUGCUAUGAUUUCAUAAUAUACGCUACAGUAUGAGAUGGUAUGGUAUUGUACUUUGGAUGGUUGGAAUAUACUAAAAUAUCCCUAUGAAAUUAUUUUAUUCAAUCACUUAUUCCAGGAACUAAGUAAUAUGAAUACCAGCUACAAAUUGUAUAUCUCAAAAUUAUUAUCCUUAUCUCACCAAUCAAACAAUCCAAAUUUUUUUUUAACUUAACAAUGCAUAUAUAUAUUUUUUCAAAAUUAUUAUCCUUAUCCCACCAAUCAAACAACCAACCCGAAGGUUUUCAUAAUUUGACAACGCAUAUAUAUAUAUAUCUUUUGCGAGGUGACGAUAUGAAAGCAGUAUUAGUCCUGUAUGUAAAGUGAACGGGCUGAUGAUUUCAGAAACUUCAUUUAAAUAGAGAAAUAAUACCGGAUAUUUUCAUACAUAUGCAAGGAUAACAAUUCCCAAAAUUCUAUAAAGUUCAUUAAGUGUUGCAAGUCGAAAUUGUUCUAAAUAUAUCCCGUAACAAACUAACAAUCCAUUGGCUACUAAUUUUACAUCGAAAAACCGUCAUAUGUAAAUCUCAAUACCAAGAUCAAAAUUUUAGCAAAAGAGUGAUCUCCAUAGGUUAAGGCUCCUUCAAACAAAGUUCAGAUUUACUAAAUUAACAAAGCACUACUCUUCUUAGUGAAAAAUCAUCACCCAAUCUAGAGACUAAUUUUUUUAAAAAAGUUUUCCUUCUACGCUUGUCUUUAGAUCAUUUAAAAAAGUGAAAACUAAUCAAAUCAGUUAUCUCAAGGAAUCAACACGCUUCUUUCCAUCAAAAAUUGUCUUUUAACUUCUCAUCACAAAUUAUCACCUUCUCGUUUUGACGACCCUACAAAGGUAACAUAUGGCUAAGUAUCAACCCAACUAUAUAUAGAUAGAUGGUAACCCCCAUAAAGAAAGAACAAGUAGAAAUGCACUUCAAACAGUGGAGUACAGUAGAAGAAAGCAUGGCCGCCUUUUUACGUAUCACCCAAUACGAAUUAUAAGUGCAAUGCAGAAUAUACGGUAUUAGUAAUACUUGCAUUAGUAAUGCUUAUAUUAAUUAGUUAUAUUGAUAUUGUUUCUUAUACAUUAUUUAAUUUGACAUGUUAAAAAUAAUAUAUCUUAUAUAAUUUAUAUAAAAGAAAUAUUUAUUUAUAAAACUAUCCUUCUUUGAUUUAUUACAUUUUUUUCAACAAAAUUCGUUUGCCAUCUCAAACAUAAUUAGUGUUGUUGAACUAGUAUAUAGAGGUUUAGGAUUAAUUGCAAGACCGUCGUCUUUACGCAUGAAAUGUUAUGCAGGCGGAUUAACAUAAUCGAAACAAAAAUAAAAUACAAGAUAUAGAAUAAAGGAAUAGUCUCAAUUUUUUUAUUUAAUUUUUUUAAAGACCCUCGAAGCAAAGCAAAGAUGCAGUUAUUUAAACCAACAAUUCAUUAUUGGAAAUUAAAAUGGUGGAAAAAGAUAUUUUAAUAUGUUUUGAAAAGAUUUACUGUUGCAAAUUAAAAUGGUGAAAAAAAAAUUGUGAAAUAUUUUGAGAGAAAAAUUGGAUAUAUUAAGGUCAUUUAAUAGGUUAAUGCAUGUCUUUAAAGUUUUUGUAUUACUAAUACAUAGGAAAUGGUGUGUAUUACUAAUACACAUCUCAAUAUACAAUAGAAUAUAUAUCUAAUGUUUGUAUUAGUUAUAUAUAGGCAAAAAGAUGUACCAAACAAGGUACUAGUAACACACAUUAACUAAUGCAUGCAUUAUAUUUUCCAAUAUGCUCUACCGAACGAUCCUGGUACAAAGAGAAGUUAUCCAUGAUUAACAAUACUGGAAUUAGCAAUGUAAAAAUUGCAGUGCUGAAAUUAUUUUUCAUCAAGUAUUUGAUUCAUUAUAUUAAAAAUUAGAUAUAUCAUGUAUUGUAUUUGAAUUUAAAGUUGUACAAAAUCUUCUUCAGAUUUAUAUCCUUAAAUUUCUGUAGAAUUUUUUUACUUUAUUUAACUAAUGGAAAAUGGUCAAAAGCCCUCCCCCAAACCUUUACCCCAAAUCCCAACUACGCACUCAACUUUUAAAUGUGACCUAUUACCCCCGGAACUAUUUUAAAGUAGAAUUAUUAUCCCCUGAAUUAUUUUAAAGUGAAAUUAUUACCCCCCUCCCUCCCCCUUCCCCAAAAACCCCCCUCCCCUCCCGAAAAUUGACAACCAGUCAUUUGAAAUGUGGUGUGAUACACGCGCUGCCACGUCAUUUUUUUAUUUACUCUAAAAAAGUUAAUUAUUUAACUUUAUUAUUUUUUUUCUUCCCCAUUUUUCAUUUUGCUCCAUUUUCUUCUUCAAUCAAUUUCAUCUUCUUGGGUCAAAUAUAGAAUUCUUGGGAAAAAAAAUGACGGAUUAAUGAAGUUCUUGAAUGACGGGUUAAUGAAGUUCUUGAAUGGGGUUUUAAUGAAGUUCUUGAACCUAAUUUCAUCUCUUUUUGCUCAAGAUCACCAUUAGUGGCGAAUUCUUCCCCAUUGUGGAAAUUCAAAGCUUUGAACUCGCCAUUAAUGAUGGAUCUUGAGUAAAAAUAGAGAAAAUCGAAAAAAUGGGUUGAACAUUAUACGUGGGUUAUGUUGGAAAUUAUGUAUGGCAUUGUGGAAAUUCGAAGCUUUGAGCUUGCCAUUAAUGGUGAUCUUGAGCAAAAAGAGAGGAAAUCGAAGUUGAAUUUUUUCAAGUUUUUUGAAUCGGAGUUCCCCAACUUCUUCAUUCAAGAAUUCAUUAAUCGGAGAAAUCUUAUUGUUUCCUUAGUUCAAGUGUUUCUUGGUUUCGAUUUCAGAGCAAAGAGAAUUUCUUGAUUUCGGAGAAAUCCAUUAAUGAGGAAGAUGAGAAACCCCAUUAAUGAGUUCUUAAAUUUUUGUUUUAAAAAAGAAAAGAAGAAGACAUGACGUGUCAAUUAAAAUUCAUUAAGAAAAAGUAAUAAUUAAAAUAUUUAUUAUAUUAUUAAAAAUAAUGACGUGACAAUAAAAAAUAAAGAAUUUAAAGUGAAAUGGGGUCAACUGACGCGCCCAUGGGCGAGUGUAGUCACGUCCAAUGACAGGUCAGCAAUUGGUGGUAAUAAAUUCGAUAAAAAUAAUUUUAGGGGGAUAAUAGGUCACUUUUAAAGGUUGAGUGCGUAGUUAAGAUUUCGACUAAAGGUUGGACGGUAAUAGACCAUUUUCUCUUUAACUAAUCAAAUUACUCACUUUUUAUGCGAUCUUAUAAAAAAGUUAAAAUAUAAAUAAUAAUUCUUACUCCGCUUAAUUAAUUAUUUACUUAUUUUUUAAAAAAUUGGGCCUAGUUGAUUUAAAAAAAAUUUAAACAGUAAAAAUAUAUUGUAUAAGAACAACAUGGAUUAUUGAUAAUGUAGUUUCAUAAUUUUAAAUUAUAUAUUUAUUGACAAUAAUCUACUCGUUUUAAAUCAGUCAGUCUAUAAAUUGAAUAAUUACAAAUAGAAUAAAUGUUAGCUUACGUUUGAAGCUAUCAAUCAACAUGAGAGAGAAAAUGACAUUUAGGUGCAAAUUAAAUAUGGUAUAACCAUUAAAUUUGAGGUUAGAUUUAAUAUGAAAAUAAAAGAAAGCUUUUAUUAAAAAAGUAGUUAAAUUAUUUAAUUCUCUUAUUUAUAUAUUAUUAAACAACGUAUAAAUAAUUUUAUGAUUUUUAAAGUAUAGAUAAUCUACUCUAUAGUGUAUAAGUGUGUAUAAGUUAUUCAUGUAUUAGCUGAAAUUAAAUUUAACUAGAACAAUCAAAUAUUAUAUUAGCUGAAAUUAAAUUUGAAUAGAACAAUCAAAUAUUAUAUUGAGAAAAUAGUCUAUUACCUCCAACCUUUAGUCGAAAUCCCAAUUACAUACUCAACCUUUUAAAGAUACCUAUUAUCCCCUUAAUCUAUUUUUUUUUCUAUAUUUAUUACUCCCUGACCUGUCAACAUAAACCAAGUAAUAAGACAUUCAUGCAUUUCAUGCGCCUGGCCCACACCUAAACAUAACAAAAUAUCUUUUUUCACAAUUUCAUUUUCAAUUUCCUCUCUCCUCUCUCUUCUCUCUAAACCUUUCAUCUUCCUCUCUCCUCUAUCUUCUCUCUAAACUGCGAUUUCAUCUAUUUUUUUGGGGGAAUUUUUGUUAUAAUUGAGAUAUUUUGGGUGUGAAUUUUCAAAGAAUCAUCUUGUUGCUGUUACAAGGUGUUUUUUUUUUCCGUAAACUGAAAAAAAUUGAAUUAGAAUUUUUAGCUAAUCUCCAAAUUUACAAAUUAAUUGAGUGAAAUUAACUGAUUCUUACUGUUAUGGCGUUGUCUCAGUGUUCGAUUAACAACAUAAUUCGUUCGUAAGUACAUGUUUUGUUGAUUGUUUAAGUGAGUUUAUUAGAAAUUAGCGCUUUUCUUCGAUUUGUUGUUAAUGUGAAAACUUAAAAAUUCAAUUGUGUUUAAUAGGAAGUGCGUGUUAAUAUGUUGUUAAUUUGAGUGAUUUUUUCCAAAAUUGAGUUAAAAUUAAAUAGAGUUUUAUGCUAAUUCCCAAAAUUUAAAAUUAAUUGAGUGACAUUAAGCUGUGGUUUUUGCUAUUAUAUUGUCUACGUGUUUGAUUAACAACAUAUUACGUUUCUAAUUACAUCAAAUUAGAAUUUUUGUUGAUUGUUUAAGUUGGUUUAUUAGAAAUUAGAGCUUUUGUCCGAUUUGUUGUUAAAAUGAUAAAAUUUCUCAAAAUCAAUUGCGUUUAAUAGCAUGUGUAUGUUAAUGUCCGAAACUAUGACUCAGAUAACUCAGCAGUGUGUAGAGCUAUGUCGAUCUGAAGAUAAUAAAAUUUCAGAGCUAAAAAAAGACGUUGGUAAACUCCAUAAAACCCAUAACGUUUAUUAUUAUUUUGGUUUUUAAUUUUGUAGCAUGUUCAUGAUUUUUUUUUCUUUUUCCAUAAUGUUUCUACUAUGCUACUAUGUCUUGUUUGAUUCUUUAUUGUGAUCAGGUAAGACAUGAAUGAUUUUACGUUGAUAACUCUAAGAUAGUACCAUGGUGAGGUCUUACAUUUUAGUAGGGGAAAACCAGUUUAUAAGGGGGGGUUAGUAACAGAAUUUUUGAAUGUUGACGUAGAUAAGAUGUCAUAUUUUGAGUUGAAAGACUAUAUUAAAAAUUGGGACAUAGCAUAACUUGCACUUUUAGUAUUAAAGCAUUUAACUAUGGCAUUUUGGUAGAUGUUGAUAAUGAUAUGGAUAUUUUUGAGAUGAUGUGUUCCUUGCAAGAUGGGGAUGAAGUAGAGGUAUUUGUCAACCAUUUGUUGAUGAGCCAGAUGUAGUGGCCCCCCCUCCCCCAAACCUUUAUUUUUAGAAAAUGUCUGUCCUAGAAAUUUAGAGGAAUCUGGUGCAUCUUUUAAUACUAAGCCUAACUUUAGGGUAAGUGGGGACCAUUUAAAUGUGGAGGACCCUACUUCUUUUUUUCCAACCACACCUCCUUUCAAUACCACACCUCUUUUCACUACUGCAUUAAGUGUUGCUGUAACAACUAAUGCUGCAGUAGAUGAUAUAGAUGUUGGUCUUGCUGGAUUUGAUUUUUUAGAAGAAGAAGUAGAGGCUUCUGAUUAUUCUACUGAGAAUAAUGUUGAGUCAGAAGGAGAAUUAGUUGGAGAUGAUGAUGAAGAGGAGUAUGGUAAUGAUGUACCUGAGGAGGUUAGGGAGUUGAGAGUUGAAAAGAGAAAGUUUCAAAGGAGAAAAAGAAAUGAGAGAGUACCAACUGACAAUGCAGAGGUACCAGUAGGUGAAGUAGUACCAGAUCUAGGUUUUGAUGAAACUGAAACCGGUAGAGUAAGUUAUGAAGGAAGGCUUGGAGGUGAUGAGCCUUACUUUGCAAGUUCUGAUGAGGAUAGUUUUGUAUUAGAUGAAGAUGAUUGUUGUGAUGAUGAUGAACAUGAAAUGGUUCAUUCUGGUAGAGCAAGAACUAUGAAGUUGUCAAAAAAGAGGACAACAAAUCAAAAAAUCAUUCAUGACCCAACUGCAAAGGAAGUUGUUUGCCAGUUACGUAUGGUGUUUAAAGAUAUGAGUGAAUUUAGAAAAGCAGUGACUAAAUAUGUAAUAAGAAAAAGGGUUCUUGUAGAGAAGUGGGUUAAUGAGCCAAAAAAGGUUAGAGUUAGGUGCAAUGAUGGCUGUCCAUGGCUUUUAUUUGCAGGUCUUGACAAGACAACAAAUGAUUUCAUGAUAAAAAACUUAUAUUCCAAAGCAUACUUGCAAUAAGACAACCAGAAAUUACUUGUGCAAUGCAAAGUUCUUAGCUGAAAUCUUUAGAGAAAGAAUAGUUGAGCAACCCAACAUAAGAGUAUUCAAGUUGCAAAAGUUGAUUAGAAAAAAGUUCAAACUUUAUGUUGGUAAGAUCACUGUGAGAAAAGCAAGGUCUAAAGUCUUAAAGGAGAUAAUGGGUGAUCAUGUUGUAGAAUUUGGAAGAAUCCUUGACUACAAAGAUGAACUGUUGAGGAUAAAUCCGGGGACCAGUUGCGUUGUCAAACUUGGUGAGGCUGAUGAAGCAGGUAAACCAAAAUUUCAGACUUUUUACAUAUGCUUUGAUGUUUUGAAGAAGGCAUGGGUACAUUGUAGGAAGUGCAUAGAUUUAUAUGGUUGUUUUCGUAAGGGUAUUUGUAAAAGCCAAUUGUUAGUUGUUGUUGCCAAGGAUGGAAAUAACUAGAUGCUGCCACUUGCUUGGGCAAUAGUUGAAAAACAGAAUACAAACACCUGGACAUGGUUUAUUAGGUGCAUUAGGGAUGACCUAAGACUUGAAGAAGGUGAAAGUCUCACCCUGAUUACAGAUAUGCAGAAGGUAUGUACAGUAUUUUAUGUUUAACCUCAUUUCUUUUUAAUUUAACUUAGUACAUGUAAUUAUGCCCUAACUUCACCCUUUUUUUGUUAUGUAUGUUUACUGAAAGGACUGUUUGUAGCAAUUGAGGAGGUGUUACCUCAAUCUGAACAUAAAAGAUGUGCAAGACACAUCUUAGCUAAUUGGGCUAAGGAUUGGAGAGGUCUUCAAAGAAGACAACAAUUUUGAAAGAUAGCAAAAAGUACAUUUGAGUCUCAAAUGAGGAAGAACAUACAGAAGAUGAAGUUGCUUGGUCCUGGAAAAAUGAUGUAAGACUUAAUGUACUGCAAUAUUAAUUACUGGUGCAAGCUUUACUUCAACACAGAAGUAAAGUUUGAUUCAGUGGAUAACAACAUGAGUAAGUGUUUUAAUGCAUCGAUCUUGGCAGUUAGCAGAAGACCAUCAUUUUCCUGCUUGAAGAAAUAAGAGUGAAGAUGAUGACAAGAAUAGGCACUCUAAGGGAGUUUCCAAAUACCUGGUGUAGUAGUUACUCACCAAGGUGUUUGAAGAUUUUAGAGGAGAACAUCAACAGGGCUCUGGAUUGUACCAUUAAGUUUAAUGGAGUGACUGGUUUUGAAGUGAAAGAAGGGCUUUGUCAACACACAGUGGAUAUUAUCAAGAGGACAUAUAGGUAUAGGUUGUGGCAGUUAAAGGGCAUACCAUGUGCACAUGGUGUGGCUGCACUAUUGUUCAAGAAACAUCCCUUGUAUGACUAUAUUGACAGCUGCUACAGUAAGGAAACAUACUUGAGGACUUAUGCAAAUGUUCUUAAACUAUUAACAAACAUGAAAAUGUGGCCUGUUUCAUCAAACAUUACUGUUGCACCACCUGAAAUUAGUACCUUGCCUAGCAGGCCAUCUAAGUCUAGGAAGAAGGAAGCUGGAGAAACAAAAAAAUCUGCAAAAUUGCCUAGAACUGGACUUGCAAUGACAUGUAGGUUGUGUCAUGUAGGUUGUGUCAUGUUAGAGGCCACAACAAAAGAAGGUUCCCUCUAAGAGGACAAUCAGCAGAACCAAGUGUUGCACUAUCAGUAACACCUACUGGUUCAGGCAUUGGAAGAGGCAGACCAAAGGUAAGUUUAACACUUAAUUUAGUAUAUUACUUAUCUUACUUCUAAAAUUUCUUAACAUUAUUUUAAUAUGUAGAAAACUACACCAAAAACACCAAAUGCACCUCCUCAAGUCAGUGUUGGUUCAGGCAGGGGAAGAGGCAGACCAAAGGUAAUUUUACACUUGUACUAAUUAGCUCAAUAACUUUUAUAUAACUCUCUUCUUUUUAUAUGUAUAGAAAACUCCAUCAGAAAUCAUUAAUGCAUGUCAACAACAAAAAAAAGAAGAAGAAGGAGACCAAAAAAGGCAACACUAGCAGCACCUAGUGCAUCUCCUCUACCUAAAACACCUUCUGCGCCUACUAUUUUUCCAGCAUCCUGUUCUGCACCUUCUGAUUAUUGUGCAUCAUCUUUAAUGGCUGGUAUUACUAAAAGGGGAAGGGGUAAUGAUAAGGAAAAAACACCUCCAUUGAAAAGGUCAAAAGUAAUGGGAAUGGGUGUGUUCCAAGAUGAAAAUGGAUUCAAAGUCCUAAAUGUAAGUAUCUAGCUUUGUUGUAUCUUGUGUACAUAUGAGUCUUUAAUGUAUAAGUUUUUGAAUAAUUUUUAUCCUUCACUGUAGCCUGGCAUGCCUAGCAGUAAGAUCUGCUCUAUUGGUCAUGCAAGGGUAACAAGAUCAGCUGAUAUAACUGGUAACAUUGGUUAUACACCAAGUACUACUAAUAAGCUGAAAUUGAAUGGCAAAGUAGCAAUAUGAACGAAAAAACUACAAGAUAUUAAAGAGAAGAAAAGAAAGAAGAAUGUGCGAAGCAGUUCAAAUAAUUCAAGUCAAGAAAAUACUUCUUCAAAGUCCAAGAUGCCCUGAAAAUUGUAGUAAUGUUGAUUAUUUUAAGCACUGUUUUAAGUUAGACCAAUUGAAAUGAAAAUAAUUUUAUUUUGGUGCUGAAAAAUAAUUUAAGCACUGUAUAUAUAUUUUGUUGAUGAAUGUUGCCUAAUGGUUGGUAUGAAUGAUGAUGUUGUGCCUAAUGGUUGGUAUGAAUGAUGAUGUUGUGUGAAGUCGAAUAUUUUGUUGAUGAAUGUUGUCAUUAGGUAUUAUUGUUGUGUUAAAUGAUGGUAAAGUUGAUAUAAUGUCAACACAACAUUGUCAUUACACGAUUUAAGUGUAAAAACAUAGCAGCAGCACGGUGCUUUGUCUAACAAGACACAACUUUGAAAGUGUAAACAAUAACAUAGCAACAACAAAAGACACAAUAAGUGUAAACAAUAACAUAACAGUAAUACACAACACAAUUUUGUAAAUGUAAACAACAACGUAGCAGGAGCACAACACAAUUUUAAAAGUGAAAACAAUAACAUAGCAGCAACACAAAUGCAAACAAUAACAUAGCAGCAGCAACACAAGUGCAAACAAUAAUAUAGCAGCAACACAACAAACAUCUGAAGUACGACUAAGCAAAAGACACCAUAACAGAACAUAAUCUGAUAUAUUUAGAGAGAGAUAUACAAAAUUUACACCAUAGUAGACAAGAUCUAGCAACUAGUUUUAGUUCAUUUGUUGCUGAUGAACAUAGCAACAACACAAAUCAAAAUAAAUUAAAAUAUCUUCCUAUUGAACCUACACCAUCUCCAUUUUCUAUUAAGCUUUUUCUCCCGCGUCAAGUUAUCAAUUUGGACUUGUUUAAGCCAUACGUCUUCUUCCAACUCAUUGAUUUUUUUCACCAAUCUUGGAAAUAUAAAAUUUGAUCUUGAAUCCACUUUUUCUUUGUCCCUUUGUAGGAAAAAAUUAUAUUUUUGAGACUAAAAUUUUUUUUAGAAAUCAGUACAUUAUCAUAAUUUGAAUAUAAAUUGACGGCAAAAUACAAUGCAAAAUACAUAUACCAUAGUAGAGGCAAGACCAAAAUCUUCUUCCCGGAUUUAACUUCGACCAUGAAGUUUGCAAGUUAAGAAAAAUACCAUGUUUGCAUCUCACAACAACAUUGACCAUUGGAUCUGAUUCAUCUACACAAAGUUUAUUCAAUUUCGAAUUUGUCAUUUCAUGAAUUUCGACAAAAUUAAUGAUAAAAUUACAAACCCUAAAUUAAUAGUUGAACCAAACUACAAAACAAAACUUCACGAAUUGAAGUACAAAUUGGGAUUAAAAAUUAAAACGUACGUUAAAGAAAUAGAAAAAAAAUGGAGAAACAUGAAGGAAAAUGAUGGACAAGAACAAGGGUCUUAUAAAGAAGAAGAUGACCGUUGGAAGAGAGAGUAUUUUUUCAUCUUUAUUUCAUCAAAUAAUCAAUUAAUGAUGUGUAUAUUAUGUGGAAGGUUAAAAUUUUAAUUUUAGAUGUGCUGGGGCUAAACCAACGCGUCUAGAGGGAGUGUUCUCACCUUCCUUGUCAGGUCAACAUUUGGGGUAAUAAAUAUAGAAAACAGGUCAGCAUUUGAGGUAAUAAAUAUAGGAAAAAAUAAAUUAGAGGGUAAUAGGUCAUCUUUUGAAAAUUAAGUGUGUAGUUAAAUUUUGACUAAAGGUUGAUAUUAGCUGAACAAAAUUUUAACCAUAAACAAUAGUCCUAAAUAGAACAGGAUUCAUUCACACGACAACUUGCUUCUUGUAUUGAAGAAUUAGAAGAGGGGUUCUUAAGGAUCAUUCCUUACAAAUAAUUCUAAGAGAAAGAAAAGAGACGCAACUACUUUAAAUAAAUGAUAAAAGGAAAUUAUUUAUUAAUCAAACUCAUAACAUUUUCUUGAUUACAAUUGUAAGACGAAGACCCACAACCUUAGACAAAUUACAGACACACAUCAUUCAGAUUGAAACAAACAUUAUUGACUGACAAAGGGAGUUCGACAAACAACAGUUGAUUUGCAAUUCUUCUUCAACCAAAGAUGUCAAUCGCCUUCACCUCAUGUUUCUUCUCCUCUUCCUUCGGAACAGUCACAGUGAGCACUCUGUUCUCCAUAGCUGCCUUAAUUUCCCCUAUUUUCGUAUUCUCCGGCAGCCUAAAUCUCCUCAAAAACUUGCCGUUGCUCCUCUCCAUACCGUGCCACUGAUCAUUCUUCUCCUCUUGCUCUCUGCUUCUCUCACCACUUAUCUGUAAUAUCCUUCCUUCUGCAACUUCGACUUUCACUUUUUCUUUCUUGAUCCCCGGAACAUCUGCUUUGAAGAUAUAAGCUUCUGGAGUUUUCUUCGAAUCAAUUCUUGCAUUUACGAAAGUAGAAGUUUCACGAGAAGAGGAGGGGGUGUUGGUGAUUGUGCUUGAAAUUGGGAAGCCUUCGAACGGAUCCCAUAGGUCGAGGGAGAAUGGGUCAAAGAUGUUGCUCCUGCGACCACCGAAGAAGCUUGGAAUCAGAGACAUUUUCUGGGGACUUUGUUGUUUGAAGAAGACAAAAGAUGUACUGUUACAGAGCUUGAAUUUUUCUUUGAUUGUAGCGUUUGAUAAUUUGUUGUUGAUGAAUGAGAGGAGAUGCCGUGAUAUUUAUAGGCGAUGAACCAUGAAACUUAAGUAAUUGGAGUGUAAUCUAGGAUGUUCUCAGAGUAUUCGACGAUAUUCUUCAAUAAGCUAUCCAAUUCGAGGCUAAUCUUCGAUGUUCUUCGGUUUAACUUUCAUUAAUAGAAGAAAUAAGAAGCUUCUACAGUAUUCGAGGGAAUUUUUCUAAAAGGGUCAUGCACAUUAUUGUUCGUCAAGUCAUAAUUUCAAGGGUAAGGUAUAAUGGGUAAAUAAUUUUGAAAUAAAAUGAAGAGUAAAUACAUAAUAAUUACCCACUGAUGUUGGUCGAGAUUUUUAAAAAGACACUUAAACUUUGAAUUCGACCCAUUAUCCUAUGAUUCUUACUUAAUUUAUUGCAAACACACUAUUUUUCGCUGAAUUUUAGUCACAACAAGGAGAGUGAAAUACAUGCGUCAAUCAGAUGCCACCACAUGUCAAAUAUGUUUAAUUUAUAUUUUUAUUAUUAUUUUAAUAAAAUUUUAUUUUUUAUUUAAUUUAAUACCCCACCCCAAAAUCAAUUCAAAAAAUAAUUUUAUAAUUAAAUUGAGAGUUUUAUGAUUGAAUUUAGUUUUAAAGAUAGUUAAAUGAUAUGAUUUAACUGAAAAAUUGAGCUUUAAUGAUAUGAUUUUAAUAAAAAAAAAGCUUCAAUGGAGGAACUUUAAUGAUGAUAUUGUGUUGAAGAGCUUUAAUGGUGUUGAAGAAGAUAUUAUGUUGAAGAAGAAAUGGUGGAUAGUUAAAUGAUAUGAUUUAAUUGUAAAAUGGAGCUUUAAUGAAUGAUUUAAAAAAAUUAUGAAAAGUUUCAAUGGAAGCUUUAAUGGUGAGUUGAGUUAAAGAAGAAAGAGUGGGUGGUUGGAGGGCGGAGAGGGGGUAGGGAUAAUUUUUAAAAAUAAAUAAAUAUUAUUUUUUUUUAAAAAAUAUAAAUUAUAUAUUAAAUUAUUUUACACAUGACAGCUUUUAAUUGGUCAAAAAUGUCAAAUUCAAGCCAUUUCACGCGCCUGUGGUGCAUGUAUACACGUAGAGGGUCAAAAUGGUGUGUUUGCAACGAAAUAAAGAAGAAUCAUGGGGUAAUUAAUCGAAGUUAAAGUUUAGGUAUCUUUUUGUAAAUCUCGGACAAGAGAAGGAGGUAAUUAUGUAUUUACUCUAAAAUGAAAGAUUAAUACAUCCUUGACUACAUAUCUACAUGUUUCAUUAUUUACAUAUUGAAAAUGAUGGUGUUUGUAACUUUUCACAACAUCAUUUAGCAAAAAGUACCUGCACAGUACCAAAUGAUUAAUAUUUGUCUCAUAAAGAGGAAAGAAAAAGCAAGGGCAUAUUGAUAGAUGAGAUUUCCGACAAAUAAGAAACCAAAUCAUUACUAUCACAUGAACCUUAAGUUGUUGCAAUUAAGAGUUCGGAACUAAAGUAUGCCAUGCAACUAAAAAAAGAAUCAUUCUAUGUCAUAUAAAAAAAGUAUUAAAAUAGGUUUUGUGCACUUAUUAAGUGCACAAUGCCUUUCUAUUUUAACGGUAAAUCCAUUCACAGUAUCAGAGAAAGUCAAACUUAGUCAUUUUUUAUGAAUUGUGCACUUAUUAAGUGCACAAUUCAUUUUUUUAUGAAUUAUGCACUAAAUAAGUGCACAAUUCUUAUUAAAAUAGAUUGUGCACUUAUUAAGUGCACAAUGUUUUUUAAAUAAACUGUACACUUAUUAAGUGCACAAUGUUUAUUCACUUUUUACGCAUGACAUUUUCAUUUAAUUUGUUUAUUUAUUUAUUUAUUUAUUUAUUUUUUGAUUGUGCACUUUUUUAGUGCACAAUUCAUUUAUUUAUAUUGUUCACUUUUUUGUACAAUCAAUGGAUUGUUGUGAUUUUGGACUUGUUGAAGAAGAUUAACAAACAACAAAAGGAGCUGAAGGCCAAAAGGAUCUUAAAGCUAAUUUUAAGCAUUAGUGUGAUAUGUAAUCUGAUGAUGUUCAUUUACCUUUUGUGCCAUUGAAAGAGAAUUGUCUAUGUAUGAUGUUUUAUUUUGACGAAUAUAAUAGUAUUUCUCUGUUAAAGUACAAAUACUCUUAACACGAAAAUUUUUAUGGUAGAUGAGGUGCGCCAUGUCAUAUUUAUGUGAGGCUUUUCAUUAUUUGACAAGUGCACAUUGUGGGUCCCGUGUAAUUAUUAUCCUUUUCACUUUUUAUUGAAAUGUCAUGCUUUUUUAUUUUUUAAUUUAUUUACACAAAAUCAAAUAACAUGAAUAAAAUAGGGUGAAAAAAUUAUCAUACAAUUUUUUCUUUUUUAUUAAUAUAAAUUAUCUAACUUUAAAGUUUAUCACACAUAAAUUAUUAUUUUUUUUAUUUUUCAUAUAAAAAAUCAUCCAUUUUAAAAUUAUCACAGUAAUCUUUUUUUCUAAUUUUUAAAUGGCAAUGAAAUGAUAUAAUAAAAUUAUUUAUCAUUAUUUUAUUCAAUAAAAUUAUUUAGAUUAAUAGAUUUAUCUCACGAAGUAACAAUAGAAUUAAAACCCACACUUAGAAAAUAGGAUAGUUUGUAAUUAGCAUCCUUAAUAUAUGUGCAUUUUUUUUAAUUACACUUUAUUUUAUUUUUAAUGUCUUGGCCCUUAAAAUCUCAUUAAAUUCCUACAAAAUUAUAAUUAAUCUCAUUUUAAUUGUUACAAAGACAAAAAAAAAAGGAAAAAAUAGAAUUAAGAAGAAAAAAUAAUAAUAGCCUUUCAAUAUUGAUUCAUACCUCCAGUGAAUUUAUCUUGAAUGACUUUCAAGCCGUCUUUGCUUCUUUAAAUAAUCAAAUUUAAUAUUUCAAAAGUAUAUUUAUUGAAAUUAUUUAUUAGUUUAGUUUGGUUUAUAUUAAAAUCAUGUGUUUUAUUUUUGUUUUUUCAUCCGGUGUCCGAUACCCGCAUUGGAGUACGACUAAUGCUGAUUCGCGCCGCGUAGUGUCCCAUUCGGGGGGAAGCGCACCUUACCAAGAAUUUUUUCAUACCUAGGGCUCAAACCCGAGACCUCUGGUUAAAGGAGGAGCAGCCCCAUCCGCUGUAUCACAUCAUUUGGUGGUAUUAAAAUAUGUGGUUGUAUUAUGGUGAAACUGUUUAGUUUGAAAGCUUAUAACAAUUAUUAUUAUUAUUAUUAUUAUUAUUUAUGCUUUUUAUUUUAUUUUAUGUUUUUAAAGGGUAAUUUAUUUUAUUAUUAUUAUUAUUAUUGUAUUUUAAAUAAAUUGCCCUUUUAAAAUAUAAAAUAAAAUAAAAACUAUAUAUGCUUAUAACAAAUUAUCGUAUUCAUACUAUAAUUUUUUUACAUACAAAUACAUAUUUAUAAUAAUAAACAUUUUAAAUGUCAGCCGUAAAAAGUGAAUAGAGAUUGUGCACUUAAUAAGUGCACAAUCUAUUUAAAAAAUGUUGUGCACAAUCUAUUUUAAAAAAAAUUGUGCACUUUAGUGCACAAUUCAUAAAAAAAAAUGAAUUAUGCACUUAAUAAGUGCACAAUCCAUUAAAAAAUGGAUUGUGCACUUAAAAAUUGCACAAUCUAAGCGUGACCUUCUCUGACGCCGCGAAUGGAUUUGCUGUUAAAAUAAAAAGGCAUUGUGCACUUAAUAAGUGCACAAAGCCUAUUUUAGUAUUUUUUUUUAUAUGACAUAAAAUAAUACUUUUUUUAGUUGUAGGACAUAUUUGGUUUCGGACUCUGCACUUAACUAUAUUUCAUUCUUUUAUAUCAAAUACCUUCGUAGUAUUUAUUGGAAGAGUUCGUUGUGAUGGGAAAAAUACUUUCAUAGUAAGAAAAUCUAGAAAGUACAAACAUGUACUCAAACUAACUUAAAUAAAGUAGAAACAAUUAGAUUAGCUAAAUUAGAAUAUCAUGUAAUGUUGAAAACAUACUGAAAGACAUUCGAGAAGCUAACAUCGACAAGGAAUUAAGCCACUUUUACGUCCAAAACUCUCAUGUUCUCGAUCUUUCUAUUGCAGAAAAUCAACCUGAAAAAUUUAAAAGUAAAUUAUUAUUAUUAUUAUUAUUAUUAUUUAUUAUUAUUAUUAUUAUUAUUAUUAUUAUUAUUAUUAUUAUUUCAUUUCUAAUUCUUUAUUCCAUUUUUGAGAAGAGAAAAACUAAAUUAUAAAGUUGAAGGUUGUUGCCCUUCAAAUUAAAUAAUCUAUAGCCAAUAUAAUCUGGAAAACCUCUAUUUAGAAAGGGAAAAAAAUGAACAUUGAUAUACAUUUAAUAAAGCAAUGGAAAGUUGGACAUUAACCUCCUAGAAAUACUCACUGCAUCUUUUAAAAACCUUAAAUCAGAAACUAUCAAAUCUUUGUUUUUAUUAACAACAGGGACUUCCCCCAAUUCUUGUAGAAAACUUGAGACACAUAAAAUGUGAUUCUAAUGCUUAUUCAUCUCUUGAUUUUUCCAUCAUUAUUUAAAUAUCUACAACAAUAAUAUACUGGUAUAAUUUUAUUGGUGGGGUUUAGGGAGAGUAAAGUGUACACAGAUCUUACCCCUAUAAUUCGUAAAGAUAAGAGAAGUUGUUUCUGAUAGACCCUCAGCUGAAGUGAAGUAUCUCAAAGCAAUUUGAAAAGGGAAAUAUGGAAAUAGAAAUAGUAACAUCAACACUAUAUAUGAAUGCAUGGAGCGGAAUUUACCUUACUGUUUGCCUUUGCAUACGCAAUCAGCUGCUAAGUGUCUGACUCAAGAAUGCCAUCAACUAUAGUAGCCACGCCUCUAAUGAUUGCUUGUUUAAGAGCAGAUAUGGAGGAUGCAACAACAUUGCAUUGAGUUAAGAAAUUAACGAUCAGACAGAUUGUCUUUCAAGAGAUGACGGAGGGCUUGUCACACUACCAACCUUCUGAAAGAUACAAAGCUUAUAAAUACAUCAGUAGUGGGAUGUGCAACACAGCCAGCUUCAACUCUGUAUAACAGGACGGACAACAUUAGUUCAUAUAUCGUUUUGGACACACAACCAAUUGACAUACAUGGACAAAUUGAUUUAUAAUUAAGCCCUAUGUGCUAUAAUGUUGAGUCAAGAUGCUCCGCCUUUUCUAUAGAAGCAGUCAACUGAGUUCUAAACGAAUUAGCUUCUGGCCAUAUUACGCCUGUUGGGUUCAAUAUGUAUGGAAGAAGUGUGAAUAGAAAAUGGAGAGAAAAAGGAUGGAGGGAAGGAAACACUAAUUUAGAAAGUGUACUCUCAAAUUGAAAAGUUCACUAAAUCUCCCACAUUGGUGGGAGAAGAGAACUUUGGAGUAUUUUUAAUAAAGAAUACUUACUCUACAUAGAUAGUGAGGCAAGAACAAGGUGGUGCUUCGUGUUGUUGUCGUCGCUCGGCUCGACUUUGAAUUUGGAUUGAUGGAAUCUAUUAUUUUGGACAAAAUUUAUUUGAUCAAAAUCUGAUCCGAAUAUUCUAAAGGAAAAAUGACAGAAAUGCAGAAAAUUUUUUUGUGUUUUAUCCUCCAUUUAUAUGCAUGUAUACAGUGAACUGAUGCAUUAUUUCGAACUGAACUGAUGCAAUGUUAUGAACUGAUGCUUCAAAAAGAUGCAACCAUUCAGUAAAAAUGAUACACUGAUUCAUGGAAAGGUAUGCUUGUUCGGAAAAGAUACACUGUUUGGACGAAUAGACAUGAUUUUUCAGGAAAGGUUACACCUUUUUAAAUAAACCAUUGCCACUUUUCAGAAGAGGCCAGUUAUGACUAUAUAAACCUGCUUUCAUCCAUAGGUUUAGACAUGAAAAUUUUUUUGAAACAAAAACUCUUCUUGUUUUCAAAUAUUUUGUGUGAUCAAUCAAACUGUUGAGUGAGUUCGUAGAAUCCGUCAAUUUGAGGUACCGUUAUUGUUCGGAUUGAAGUCCAUUUUAUCCUGGGAGGAAGAUUCCAUAACCUCGGGUACAGUGAGGAGAAUUAUUCCAUAAGGACAUUCCAUGAAGUCGGGGGACUUGAUCUAAAUUUCUGUUUCAUCUUUUUCUGAAUAUUAACACACUUCUAAGAUAGAUUAUUCAUAAUCUAGUGUUGAAGGUGUGAAGAAACUUCAUAAGUUCUUGUCUUGAACUUGAACUUUCUUUGAAGUUUCUGUUGCUUAUAUAUAGAUUCUUGUACCCGAAUACAUACAAAAUAACAAUCUUAAGGAAUAAUUCAGAAUCUGUAUUACUUGUUUUUGAAGAUUAAAUCUUUAAACUUUCUACUCCGUUUGAAUUUAACUAGUGAUUAGAAGACAUAAAAUCUUUAUCACAAGUUUAAAAUUCACUCGGUUGACAAUUGGAAGUCAUUAAAACUUCAUUGUUAACUAGAAACAAGAAGAAGAGUUUAAGUUUCUUAACUUUAUAAGUAGUAUUCUGAAAAUACUAAAUAUUAUUGUCUUGUGGUGACAGGAAAAAUAACUAAUGAAAGCCAAAUGCAAGAUGCGGCUACGACUGUGGGGGCAACUAGCAUUGCUUCAACAAGUCGAGCAAAUGCUCCGCAACCAAUGGCACCUGCGGAGAAGCCUGGAAAAUUUACGGGCGUUGACUUUAAGCGAUGGCAGCAAAAAAUGUUCUUUUACCUCACCACUCUAUGCCUUUAAAGGUUCACUAGUGAAGAUGCUCCUGAGGUGCUCGAGGGAACCUCGGACAAAGAGCAUUUCAUGAUUGUAGAAGCUUGAAAAUACUCAGACUUUCUUUGUAGGAAUUAUAUAUUAAGUGGUCUCCAAGACGACCUCUACAAUGUUUACAGUGGAACUAAGACACCGAAGAAAUUGUGGGGGGCACUAGAUCGAAAAUACAAGACAUAGGAUGCGGAAAUUAAGAAAUUCUUUGUUGCAAGGUUCUUGGACUUUAAAAUGAUAUAGAGCAAAUCGGUUGUCUCUCAAGUGCAGGAAUUGCAAGUAAUCAUCCAUGAUCUUCUAGCGGAAGGUUUGAUUGUGAAUGAUGCUUUCCAAGUAGGAUCGAUAAUUGAGAAGCUACCACCAAUGUGGAAGACUUCAAAAACUGCUUGAAGCAUAAAAGCAAGGAGAUGACUGUUGAAGAUCUUAUUAACCGACUGCGUAUUGAAGAGGAUAAUAAAGCUACCGAGAGAAGGUCAAAAGGGAAUUCUGCAAUUAAUGGAGCACAUAUUAUGGAAGAUGACCAAAAUAAUUCUGAGAAAAGGAAGAAAGUUGAACAAGGAAGCAAUCAACCGAAGAAGAAAUUCAAGGAAAAAUGCUUCAAUUGUGGCAAGAUUGGCCAUAAGUCCACGGAUUGUCGAACCCCAAAGAAAGGCAAGAAAAAGGAUCAAGCAAAUAUGAUUGAAUCCAACAAAGAAUGCGAUGAUCUGUGUGCUAUGUUUUCAGAAUACAACUUGGUGGGAAAUCCUCGCGAAUGAUGGAUGGAUUCUGGUGCCACCCGCCAUGUAUGUGCAACAAAGAGUUGUUUUCGUCAUUUGUUCUGGCUCAAGUAGAAGAAAUAAUCUACAUGGCUAACUUCGCUACUGCUAAGGUAGAAGGAACAGGAAAAAUGUGCUUGAAAAUGACUUCAGGAAAAGUUUUGACACUUAACAAUGUCUUGUAUGUUUCAGAGUUACGUAGAAAUUUAAUUUCUGUUUCACUUCUAGACAAGAACGGAUUCAAAUGUGUAACCGUUUCUAGUAAAAUUAUAAUUAGCAAAGGAGAAAUGUAUGUAGGAAAAUGCUAUCUCACCGAGGGCCUUUAUAAGAUGAAUGUAAUGAAUGUUGAAAUAAAUAAAAGUUCAAAUUCUUCUUAUUUUCUUGAGUCUUAUGAUUUAUGGCAUGAACAUUUAGGCAAUGUUAAUUAUAAAACGCUACAAAAACUGAUUAACUUAGAAGUUCUGCCGAACUUUGAGUGCAAUAAAUCAAAGUGUCAACAUGUGUGGAAUCAAAGUAUGCAAAACAUCCUUAUAAGUCUGUUGAAAGGAAUUUCAAUCCCUUAGACUUAGUACACACUGACAUUUGAGAUAUGAAGUCAACACCAUCACGUGGUGGAAAAAAGUAUUUCAUAACUUUUUUUGACAAUUGCACUAGAUAUUGUUAUGUCUAUUUGCUAAAUAGUAAGGAUGAAGAAAUGGGUACGUUUAGGAAAUACAAAAUUGAAGUUGAAAAUCAGUUAGAUAAAAAGAUAAAAAUAAUAAGAAGUGAUAGGGGCAGAGAAUAUAAAUCUCCUUUCGCCGAAAUAUGUGUAGAGAAUGGAAUUGUCUAUCAAACUACGGCCCCGUAUUCACCUCAAUCUAAUGGAAUUGCGGAAAGAAAGAAACAAAUUUUGAAGGAAAUGAUGAAUGCCUUGCUUAUAAGUUUUGGUUUACCGUAAAACUUGUGGGAGGAGACUAUCCUUACAGUCAAUCGUAUACUCAAUACAGUUCCCCAUAGUAAGACACAGUCAAUUUCUUAUGAAAAAUGGAAAGGAAGGAAACCCAACUUGAAAUAUUUCAAAGUGUGGGGUUGUCUAGCAAAGGUCCAAGUUUCUAUGCCUAAGAGGGUUAAGAUAGAACCUAAACUGUGGACUGUGUGCUCAUAGGAUAUGCUAAAAGCAGUAAAGCAUGUCGAUUUUUGGUUCAUAAAUCCAAACAUCCGGAUAUAAAUAAAAAUACGGUAAUUGAAUCAGAUAAUGUUGAAUUCUUUGAAAAUAUUUACCUGUAUAAAACUAGACAUGAACAUUCUAGUGGAGGGUCUAAAUAACCUCGAGAUGAACCAAGUGAGAAUAUGCAUAAUGAAGAGAAUCCAAGAUGUAGUACACGUCGAAGAACUUCUACUACGUUUGGAUCAGAUUUUGUAACUUUUCUCUUAGAAAAUGAGCCUCAAACAUUUAAAUAAGCGGUGUCGACAUCAGACUCAUCCUUUUGGAAAGAGGCAGUCAAUAGUAAGAUUAAUUCAAUCUUAAGCAAUCAUACUUGAAAAUUGGUUGAUUUUCCUCCCGAAAAUAAAUAUUUAGGUUCUAAAUAGAUCUUCAAAAGGAAGAUGAAAGCGGAUGGUACUAUUGACAAAUACAAGGCAAAACUUGUAGUAAAAGGCUUCAAACAAAAAGAAGGUCUUGAUUACUUUGAUAUAUACUUGCCAGUAACAAGGAUAAAAUCAAUUCGAAUGUUAAUUGCCUUAGCUGCGGUAUUUGAUCUUGAAAUUCAUCAAAUGGAUGUGAAAAUCGCUUGCCUAAAUGGAGAAUUGGAGGAAGAAAUUUACAUGGAACAACCUGAGGAUUUUAUGGUUCCAGGAAAGGAAAACAAGGUGUGUAAACUUAUUAAGUCAUUGUAUGGACUAAAGCAAGCACCAAAAUAAUGGCAUGCGAAGUUUGACCAAACCAUGUUGGCAAACAGAUUUAAAAUAAAUGAAUGUGAUAAAUGUGUUUAUAUUAAAGACACUCCAAAUCACCAAGUCAUUGUAUGUUUAUAUGUGGAUGAUAUGUUGAUCAUCAGCAGAGACAUUUCUGACAUAAAUGCAGUUAAAUGAAUGCUCGAGAGCAAGUUUGAUAUGAAAGAACUUGGAGUUGCAGAUGUGAUCUUAGGUAUAAGAAUCCAUCGAACUCCAUAAGGGUUGGCAUUGUCACAGUCUUAUUAUAUCAAAAAUAUACUUGACAAGUUCAAGUAUAUGGAAUUCGGUAUUGCCAAGACUCCAUUGGAUGUGAGCUUUGUACUUCGAAAGAAUGAAGGUGAAAGUGACUCACAAUUGGAGUACGCAAGAGUAUUGGGAUGUUUAUUGUAUACAAUGAAUUGUACACGAUCAAACAUAGCAUGCGCUAUUAGUAAAUUGAGUCGGUACACAAGUAAUCCCAACAAAACUCAUUGGAUGGAAAUGAAAAGAGUGUUGGGGUAUCUUAAAUACACUCAAGAUUAUGCCUUGCAUUAUAAUAAAUAUCCUGCGGUACUUGAAGAAUAUAGUGAUGGAAAUUGGAUCACUGGAUCGGAUGAAGUAAAAUCCAUAAGUGGAUAUUUAUUUACUAUCGGAGGAGGAGUAGUCUCUUGGAAAUCAUCCAAACAGACUUGUAUUGCUCGUUCUACAAUGGAAUCUGAAUUUAUCACAUUGGAUAAAGCCGGUGAAGAAGCAAAAUGGCUUCGAAAUUUCUUGGAAGACAUUCCGUAUUAGCCCAAAUCAGUGGCACCAGUAUGUAUACACUGUGAUAGCCAAGCGACAAUAGGUAGUGUAGGGAGUAUGAUGUAUAACGAUAAAUCUCGUCAAAUACGAGGGAGACAUAAUACCGUUAGAGAACUUCUCUCUAGUGGAAUUAUCAUUAUUGACUACGUAAAGUCAAAGGAUAAUGUUUUGGAUUGACUUACGAAAGGUCUAUCUAGAGAAGGAGUGGAAAGGACAUCCAAGGGAAUGGGUUUAAAGCCUAGGACAAGUCAGCAUGGCGGUAACUCUACCUAGCAGACUGGAGAUCCCAAGAGCUAGGUUAAAGGAGAUCAAACAAAGUUGUGUCUGACAGGUUCAACAUUGUCAAUUACCCAACCCAUUCUCAUGAUGUAGACAAUGUUUAGUAAACAAGGAUAAGACUUAAGGUUAAAAGUCUUUUAAUGAUUAUCUAAAUUUGGCAGAUUUGACCAAAUAGUUUAAUCUAUAGGAUUGAACAUUUAGAAAUCACCUAAGUAAGGACGAAGUGGAAGCUGCUUCAAAGAGAAUGUUAGUAAAGGCCCAUUCUCUAAGCUCUCAUGAAACUGGGACGUGUUCAUGGCUGAAAAAAAUAAAACUGUGAGAACCAUAAACGGUAAAAGGCUGGUUAUGUGACACGUGUUGUCUAGGUGUACAUUAAAGCUCGAUGGUUCAAAGAUAUCAAAUUUGCUAAUUGACCGAGUGCAUCCGAUGCAUGUUCACUACGGAAAGGUCAAAGAAAAACCAACUUAUGCAGAUGCAAUCAGUCUUUACUUGAUGAUCACAUACUUGUCCGUAAAAAUUUUAUGAAAAAUAGCCAUUCCUCAUUCAUGUGGGGAAUUGUUGGGUUCAAUAUGUAUGAAAGAAGUGUGAAUGGAAAAUGGAGAGAAAAAUGAUGGAGGGAAGGAGACACUAAUUUAGAAAGUGUACUCCCAAAUUGGAAAGUUCACUAAAUCUGCCAUAUUGGUGGGAGAAGAAAACUUUGGAGUGUUUUUAAUAAUGAAUACUUACUCCACAUGGAUAGUGAGGCAAGAAAAAGGUGGUGCCUCGCGCCGUCGUCGACGUCGCUCGCUCGGCUCGGCUUCAGCUUCGGCCUCAACUUUGGCGUCGGAUUUGGAUUUGGAUUUGGAUGAAAAUGGAGAGAAAAAUGGUGGAGGGAAGGAGACACUAAUUUACAAAGUGUACUCCCAAAUUGAAAAGUUCACUAAAUCUCUCACAUUGGUGGGAGAAGAGAACUUUGGAGUGUUUUUAAUAAUGAAUACUUACUCCACAUGGAUAGUGAGGCAAGAACAAGGUGGUGCCUCGAGCUGUCGUCGUCGCUCGCUCGACUCGACUUCGGCUUCGACUUUGGAUUUGUCAAAUGAUCGAUCAAUGAGAUCUAUCUAAUCUUUUUGGACAAAAUUUAUUUUAUCAAAAUCUGAUCCGAAUAUACCAAAGAAAAAAUGACAGAAACGCAGAAAAUUUUUCUGUGUGAUCAAUCAAACUGUUGAGUGAUUUCGUAGAGUCCAUCAAUUUGAGGUACCGCUAUUGUUCGGAUUGAAGGCCAUUUUAUCCUGGGAGAAAGAUUCCAUAACCUCGGGUACAGUGAGGGGAAUUAUUCCUUAAGAACACUUCGUGAAGUCGGAGGACUUGGUAUAAAUUUUUGUUUCAUCUUUUUCUGAAUAUUAAAACACUUCUAAGAUAGAUUGUUCAUAAUCUAGUGUUGAAGGUGUUAAGAAACUUCAUAAGUUCUUGUCUUGAACUUGAACUUUCUUUGAAGUUUCUGUUGCUUAUAUAUAGAUUCUUGUACCCAAAUACAUACAAAAUAACAAUGCCUACCACUCCCUUCUCUUUACCUGAUACAAGGCAGUCGAAGUACGCACCACCCUGUAGAUAUGAAUGGCGCGAAGGAAAGGUGCAAAUUAUCAUCUGAUGCAUUUGCUAGACAUCAAAAAAGGAAUUAACUUAUACUAUCGUGUAAAAGUUGUUUAUACUAUUAGACGUAAUUUAACCUGUUAUAACAAAUUACCUACUUUAUUUUACAGGUCACUACUUCCAUUUACUAUGUGAAGUUACAUAUUGCUAUCUUUUAGGUGUGUAAUACUAUUAAUGCAUAUGAGUUAAUUAAAGAAAAGGUCAUAUAAGCUAACGAAAUACUUUUUACACUGAUGCAAUUCAAUCGAUUGUAGUAGGUUUCAUCACCGUAAUAUUUAGGUUAUCAUAUUAGACUUGAUACGAAGAGUUACCAAUUAUUGCGAAUUAUGGUGUUCAGACACUUCAAAAAGGUAGUCACACCCGCGUCGGAUCCUCCAAAAUACAUUAUUUUUGGAGGAUUUAAAAAGCACAUUUUGAUGUUUUUAAAGAUUCCAAGCAACAUAAGUUGUAAUUCAAUAGUAUCUAAUGGUCUAAAAAAAGCAUACGUAGUCAGUGCACAAAACUUAAGCUCGGAGAAUAAAAUGACUUACUUCAUUUGCUUGGUUUGGACAAGCUUGCCAGCAGUAGAAAUAUCAGCAUCAAGUUCUUCAUUUUGGUAGAAAAGUUUAGGAUCAUUUACCAUAUCCAAUUUUCUCUUCUUGUAAGCAGCAACACAAACUUGCAAUAACCUAGUAAAAGGGCUACCAGCAGGAUCCAAAUUUCUAUACAAAGGGUAUCCAAAUAUGAACACAACAAUUGAAAUAAGCAUAGCAAUUAUUGGUACAACAAAUCCAAUGCUCCAUCCAAUAUUAUCUUGAAUGUAAACAAUUAUCGUGACAGCAACAAGCAUUGAAAAUCCCAUUGGCCUGAUUUUGCUUCUUUUUCAUUGAAAAUCCCAUUGGCUUGAUUUUGCUUCUUUUUUCAUGAGCUAUUUACUCAUUCUUCUUUUACUCUGAGUUUGAAAUUGUUAUUUUAUGGUGUUUUCGGGUACAAGAAUCUGUAUUUAGGCACAACUUCAACACUAGUUCAAAUUUAAAACAAGAACCCUAUAAAGUACAAAAACACCCUCAACACAAGAUCGAAGUGAUCUUUCUAAGAAGUGUGUUUUAGUUUUUCAGAAAUUAAGAUGAAAUAGAAAUAUAAAGCCAAGUCCCCCGACUUCAUGGAGUGUCCUUAAGAAAUAAUUUUCCUCACUGUAUCCGAGGUUUUGGAAUCUUCCUCCAAGGAUAAAAUGACUUUCAAUCCAACUAUAGUGGUACCUCAAAUAAUUGAAUUUGUCGAACUCACCCAACGAUUUGAUUGAUCACAAAGAAUGUUUUGAAUACAAGAAGAGUUUUUAUUCCAUAAAAUUUUUCAUUCAUUUCUAAACCUGUAGAUGAAAGCAGGUUUAUACAACCAACAAAUACCUUUUCUGAAAGAUAACAAUGGUUUACUUAAAAGGUGUAUCCUUUGGAAGAGUCAUGUUUGUUCAUUUGAAACAUUGUAUCUUUUUCUGAACAGACACAAUUAUCUGAACAGUCACACCUUUUUCAAAAUAAGAUAUCUUUUGCUCAAAGGUUGUGUCCCUCUAUUUUCCAUUCACACCAAUUAAACCAAACAAUCCCCCAUAUGAAUGGGGAAUGACUAUUCUUUGUAAAACUUUACAAAAAAGUAUGUGAUCAUCGAACAAAGAUUGAUUGCGUCUGGAUAAGUGGGUUUUCCUUUGAACUUUUCGUAGUGAACAUGCAUCGGAUGCACUCGGUCAAUAGGUAGAUUUGAUAUCUUUGAGCCGUCGAGCUUUAAUGUACACCUAGACAACACAUGUCACACAGCCUUUUACCAUUUAUGGUUCUCAUGGUUUUGUUUUUUUCAGCCAUGAACACGUCUUGCUUUCAUGAGAUCUUAGAGAAUAGACCUUUACUAACAUUCUCCUUGAAGCGGCUACCACUUUGCCCUCACAUAGGUGAUUUCUAAACGUUCAAUCCUAUAGAUUAAACUAUUUGAACAAAUAUUCCAAAUUUAGAUAAUCAUUAAAAGAAUUUUCACUUUAAGUCUUAUCCUUAUCUACUAAACAUUAUCUACAUCAUGAGAAUGGAUUGGAUAAUUGACAAUGUUGAACCUGUCUGACACAACUUUGUUUGAUCUCAUUGAACUUAGCUCUUGGAAUCUCCAGUUUACUAGGUAGAGUUACCGCCAUGCUGACUUGUCCUAGGACUUAAACCCAUUCCUUUGGAUGUGCUUUCCACUCCUUCUCUAGAUGGGUCUUUUGUAAGUGGAUCCGACACAUUAUCCUUUGACUUUACAUAGUCAACAGUGAUAAUUCCACUAGAGAGAAGUUCCCUAACGGUAUUAUGUCUCCGUCGUAUGUGACAAGAUUUACCGUUGUACAUUAUGAUUCCUGCCCUACCUAUUGCCGCUUGGCUAUCAUAGUGUAUACAUACUAGUGUCACUGGUUUGGGAAAAUAACAAAUAUCUUCCAAGAAAUUCUGGAGCCAUUCUGCUUCUUCAACGGUUUUAUCCAAUGCGAUAAAUUCAGAUUCUAUGUAGAGCGAGUAAUACAAGUCUGUUUGGAUGAGUUCCAAGAGACCGCUCCUCCACCGAUAGUAAAUACAUAUCCACUUGUGGAUUUUACUUCGUUCGAUCCGGUGAUUCAAUUUGCAUCACUAUAUCCUUUGAGUACCGCGGGAUAUUUAUUAUAAUGCAAGGCAUAGUCUUGAGUGUAUUUAAGAUACCCCAAAACUCUUUUCAUUGCCACCCAACGAGUUUUGUUGGGAUUACUCAUUUACCGACUCAAUUUACUAAUAACGCAUGCUAUAUCUGGUUAUGUACAGUUCAUAGUAUACAUUGAACAUCCCAAUAUUCUUGUAUACUCCAAUUGUGAGUCACUUUUACCUUUAUUCUUUCGAAGUGCAAAGCUCACAUCCAAUGGAGUCUUGGCAGUACCGAAUUCCAUAUACUUGAAUUUGUCAAGUACCUUUUAGAUAUAAUGAGACUGUGACAAUGCCAACCCUUGUGGAGUUCUAUGGAUUCUUAUACCUAAGAUCACAUCCGUAACUCCAAGGUCUUUCAUAUCGAACUUGCUCUAGAGCAUUCGUUUCGUUGCAUUUAUGUCAGAAAUGUCUCUACUGAUAAUCAACAUAUCAUCUACAUAUAAACACACAAUGACUUGAUGAUUUGGAGUUUCUUUAAUAUAAACACAUUUAUCACAUUCACUUAUUUUGAACCCGUUUGCCAACAUGGUUUAGUCAAACUUCGCAUGUCAUUGUUUAGGUGCUUGCUUUAGUCCAUACAAUGAAUUAAUAAGUUUACAAACCUUAUUCUCCUUUCCUGGAACCACAAAACCCUCAGGUUGUUUCAUGUAAAUUUGUUCCUCCAAUUCUCCAUUUAGAAAUACGUUUUCACAUCCAUUUGAUGGAUUUCAAGACCAUAUACUGUUGCCAAGGCAAUUAACAUUCGAAUCGAUGUUAUCCUUGUUACUGUCGAGUAUGUAUCAAAGUAAUCAAGACCUUCUUUUUUCUUGAAGCCUUUUACUACAAGUCUUGCCUUGAAUUUGUCAAUAGUACCAUCCGCUUUUAUUUUCCUUUUAAAGAUCCAUUAGAACCUAAAGGUUUAUUUUCUGGAGGAAGAUCAACCAAUUCCCACAUAUGUUUGCUUAAGAUUGAAUCAAUCUCACUAGUGACUAUCUUUUUCUAAAAGGAUGAGUUUGACGACGACAUCACUUCUUUAAAUGUUUGAGACUUAUUUUUUAAGAAAAAUAUUACAAAAUCUGAUCCAAAUGUAGUAGAAGUUCUUUGAUGUGUACUACGUCUUGGAUUCUCUUCAUUAUGUAUAUUCUCACUUGGUUCAUAUCGAGGUCGUUUAGACCCUCCACAAGACUGUUCAUGUCUAGUUUUAUACGGGUAAAUGUUUUCAAAGAAUUCAACAUUAUCUUAUUCAAUUACUGUAUUUUCAUUUAUAUCCUGAUGUUUGAAUUUAUGAACCAAAAACCGACAUGCUUUACUGCUUUUAGCAUAUCCUAUGAAUACGCAGUCCAUAGUCUUAGGUCCUAUCUUAACCCUCUUAGGCAUAGGAGCUUUAACCUUUUCUAGACACCUCUACACGUUGAAAUAUUUCAAGUUGAGUUUUCUUCCUUUCCAUUUUCAUAAGGAAUUGAUUGUGUCUUGCUAUGAAGAACUCUAUUGAGUAUAUGGCUGUAAGGAUAGCCUUCCCCCACAAGUUUUGUGGUAAACCAAAACAUAUAAGCAAGACAUUCAUCAUUUCUUUUAAAGUUUGAUUUUUUCCGCAAUUUUGUUAGAUUGAGGUGAAUACAGGGCCUUAGUUUGAUGGAAAAUUCCAUUCUCUACACAUAUUUUGGCGAAGGGAGAUACAUAUUCUCCGCCCCUAUCACUUCUUAUCAUUUUUAUCUUUUUCUCUAACUGAUUUUCUACUUCAGUUUUGUAUUGCCUAAAUGCAUAUAUUGCUUCAUACUUACUAUUUAGCAAAUAGACAUAACAAUAUCUAGUGCAAUUGUCAAUAAAAGUUAUGAAAUACUUUUUCUCACCACAUGAUGGUGUGACUUCAUAUCACAAAUGUCAGUGUGUACUAAGUCUAAAGGAUUGAAAUUCCUUUCAACGGACUUAUAAGGAUGCUUUGCAUACUUUGAUUCCACACACGUUUGACACUUUGAUUUAUUGCACUCAAAGUUUCGCAAAACUUCUGAGUUAAUCAACUUUUGUAACAUUUUUUAAUUAACAUGACCUAGACGUUCAUACCAUAAAUUAUAAGACUCAAGCAAGUAAGAAGAAUUUGAACUUUUAUUUAUUUCAACAUUCAUUACAUUCAUCUUAUAAAGGCCCUCGGUGAGAUAGUCUUUUCCUACAUACACUUCUCCUUUUCUAAUUACAGUUUUUUCUGAAACGAUUACACAUUUGAAUCCGUUCUUUUCUAGAAGUGAAACAAAAAUUAAGUUCCUAUGUAAUUUCAAAAUGUACAAAACAUUGUUAAUUGUCAACACCUUUUCUGAAGUCAUUUUCAAGCCCACUUUUCCUGUUCCUUCUACCUUAGCCGUAGUGGAGUUAGCCAGGUAGAUUAUUUCUUCCACUUGAGCCAGAGCAAAUGACGAAAAUAACUCUUUGUUGGCACAAACAUGGCGGGUGGUACCAAAAUCCAUCCACCACUUGGGAGGAUUCCCCACCAAGUUGCAUUCUGAAAGCAUAGCACACAGAUUAUCACAUUCUUUGUUGGACUCAAUCAUAUUUGCUUGGUCCUUUUUCUUGCCUUUCUUAGGGGCACGAUAAUUUGUGGACUUAUGGCCAAUCUUGCCACAGUUGAAACACUUUCUCUUGAAUUUCUUCUUGGGUUGAUGGCUUCCUUGUUCAACUUUCUUCCUUUUCUUAGAAUUGUUUUGGUCAUCUUCUACAAUAUGUGCCCCAUUAAUUGUAGAAUUCUCUUUUGACCUUCUCUCGGCAGCCUUGUUAUCCUCUUCAAUACGUAGUCGGACAAUAUGAUCUUCGAUAUCCAUAUUCUUGCGUUUGUGCUUUAAGUAGUUUUUGAAGUCUUUCCAUAUAGGUGGUAGCUUCUUAAUGAUCGUUGCUACUUGAAAUGCAUCAUUCACAAUCAAACCUACAAAACAGUUUAUGUGAGUACUAAGAACAUUUUCAAUUUGUUUAACUAAGGUAUUUUUCAAAGAUAUACCUUCUGCUAGGAGAUCGUGAAUGAUUACUUGCAAUUCCUGCACUUGAGAGACAACCAAUUUGCUAUCUAUCAUUUUAAAGUCUAACAACCUUACAACAAAGAAUUUCUUAAUUCCCGCAUCCUCUGUCUUAUAUUUUCAUUCUAGUGACCCCCACAAUUCGUUUAAUGUCUUAGUUCUACUAUAAAUAUUAUAGAGGUCGUCUUGGAGACCACUCAAUAUAUAAUUCCUGCAAUGGAAGUCUGAGUGUUUCCAAGAUUCUACAAUCAUGAAAUGCUCUUUGUCUGAGGUUUCCUCGGGCACCUCAGGAGCAUCCUUAGUAGUGAACCUUUAAAGGCAUAGAUUGGUGAGGUAAAAGAACAUCUUUUGCUGCCAUCGCUUAAAGUCAAUGCCCAAAAAUUUUCUGGACUUCUCCGCAGGUGCCAUUGGCUGCAGAGCAUUUGCUUGACUUGUUGAAGCAAUGCUAGUUACCCCCACAGUCGUAGCCGCAUCUUGCAUUUGACUUUCGUUAGUCAUUUUAUUGUCACCACAAGACAAUAAAAUUUAGUAUUUUCAUAAUACUAUUUAUAAAGAUAAGCAACUUUAAACUUUUCUUCUUGUUUCUAGUUAAUGAUGAAGUUUUUAUGACUUCCAAUCGUCAACCGAAUGAUCUUUAACUUGUGAUGAAGAUUUUCUGUCUUCGAAUUACUAGUUAAGUUCAAAUGGAGUACAAAGCUUAAAGCUUUAAUCUCUAAAAACAAGCAAUACAGAUUCUGCAAAAAAUUAUUUCUUAAGAUUGUUAUUUUAUGGUGUUUUCAAGUACGGGAAUUUGUAUUUAGGCACAACAACUUCAACACUAGUUCAAGUUUAAAACAAGAACACUAUGAAGUACAAAAACACAAGAUCAAAGUGAUCUUUCGAAGAAGUGUGUUUUAUUUUUUCAGAAAUUAAGAUGAAACAGAAAUAUAAAGCCAAGUCCCCCGACUUCACGGAGUGUCCUUAAGAAAUAAUUUCCCUCAUUGUACGCGAGGUUUUGGAAUCUUCAUCCCAGGAUAAAAUGACUUUCAAUCCAACUAUAGUGGUACCUCAAAUAAUUGGAUUUGUCGAACUCACUCAACGAUUUGAUUGAUCACAAUGAAUGUUUUGAAGACAAGAAGAGUUUUUAUUCAAGAAAAUUUUUCAUUCAUUUCUAAACCUGUAGAUGAAAGCAGGUUUAUAUAGCCAUCAGAUGCCUCUUCUGAAAGGUGGCAAUGAUUCACUUAAAAGGUGUAUCCUUUGGAAGAGUCAUAUCUAUUCAUUCAAAACAUUAUGUCUUUUUCUGAACAGACACAACUAUCUGAAUAAUCACACCUUUUCCAUACAUAAUAUAUUUUUUGCUCAAAGGUUGUGUCCCUCCAUUUUCCAUUCACACCAAUUAAACCCAACAGAAACAAAUGAAAUCUCACCAUCUUAGUGUGACUGCAUGUUGUUGAAGAGUUUUUCAUUGAAUGAAAAAACGGAUAGGUGACCUCAUCUUAUGGCCUUGGAUAACCUUAACCUUCUGAGCUAACUUUUGGAGUUAAGAUAACUUUAAGAUCUACUAUUUCUUUUUCGAAUAAUGCCAACCAACUCGACCAAGACAUUUAUAUGAAAAAGAUAAAAAAAAAAAAGAUGUGUUAAGUUAGUGUUUUCCCAGCCGACUCGCACACCACCAUCUUUUUUUAGAUUGAAGAAGUAUCAAGAGAAGGUCCACCUCAUCUAAUAUUUAUCGAUAAGUGGGCUUCCCAUAUCAACUUAUUCACUCUCCAAAUAUCCAACCAUGAGUAAGAUCUAUUUCUUAAUACUGGCAACAAGUAUCGAUUGACUUUUACUUUAAUCAUAAGAUUAGAUUCAGUGCCAGACUCUAUGCAUUGUGUUACCACUUAGCAGAGUGCUGUGUUUUUAAUGAACGAUCGAUCGCUACCCCCUGAGUCGCAAUUGACCAUUUCAAUAGACAUAUAGGCAAGGAAACUUCAGUAUGUAUACUUUUCUGUUGAACAUGAGACAACUUGCUUGGGUGUCGAAGAAAGAGAGCCAAAGGGCUAGAUAGAGAGAGGAGAGGGUACUCAAUACUCACCAUUGGCUCUUCACUCCUGUUUUCAAUUAGCAAAAUUAAGAGAGACAUAUCAACAAUUUCAAUACUGUAAAAUAGUUCAAAAUCCUGAAUUUUGCACUGCAUGUAAAAAAGAAAUUCAAAAAUUUAAUCAGUACAAUGAGGUCGGAAAAAAAAUCUCAACAAUGGUUGAUCUAAAAGUUAAUGAACAAAGGAAAAGAGACAUGGCAAAACAAUAAUAGCAAUUUGCCUGAAUUGUACUGGAAUAGAAAAAUUGAAAAGAGGGGAAGAGUCUUAAAACAAAAGAACUUUAUUAUGCAUUCUAACGCUAUAUUCAAAUAUUCUUCCUUCUAAUUAAAAUAGUUGAAGGAUGAAAUUAACAAACAAUGAGAAAACUCGGAAAGAAAGCAGACCAAGAAUUUGAAAUAUGAAAAAGAAUCAAAAACAUGCAAAAUUAAACUGACCGGACGCUAGAAGCCUAAAACCAAGCAAUCCUAGUAGCAGGUUUGAGCAAACAAUUGAUUAAAUGAUAGGGAGAUCCAGCAAAAUUGUUUGAGCAAAAAACAAAGAAAAAGGAGAGCAACCAAAUGAACAGAUGGAGAUCAGAUCGGUGAAAGGAUGGAUGGUAUGGAUAAACGUGGUAAAUUUAGUGCAGGUUGAAUGACACAUAAGGAAAGUAGAGGUGAAGACGAAAAUGCCCUUAGUGCUUAAACAAGCAUGUUGAAACAUAGCCUUUCCUAAUAUAGUAGUAAUAAUAAUAAUCAAUGGCGGAUGUAGAGUAGAAGGUGUGGGUUCCCGGGAACCCACACCCGCUACCGUAAGACUUAAAAUUACAUAAAAAAAUCGUCAAAAGUUAUAAAUAUUAAUAGGUGGGAACCCAUAACUAAACCAAGGGAUAACUUAGUGACAGGAAAGGAGCCCUUGUGAACCCACAAGUUUAUAAUUCUGGAUCCGCCUCUGAUAAUAAUUGAGGAGCUCCUAGGUUGAAAAUCACCAAAACAAAAAAUAGUAUUUACUACUUACCAUAAACGAAGAAAAGGAUAAAUAUAUCCUCAUAACUAUAGUAGGUAUAGGUCAUUUGUUAUAUUUUGAGUACAUAUAUAUUCUUAUCAUUAAUAAAAUAGUACGUAUAUGUUCCUCAGAUUAAUGUCAAAGGCAUAUAUGUAUCCAAAGUAUGACGGUGAUCAUAUGCAUAUCAUGUACCAUAGUUCAAUGGUAUAUUUAUCUCCUUUUCGUUUUAAUUUUUGUAACCCCAAUAAUUAACGGAAACCUACUAUCCAACUCAAUAGAAUCACUAUCCGAUCUUGUCUCAAUUAAAAUUAAAGGAACACCUAACAUAUGCAUUUUUCUCACUCUUGUAACAAUAUAUACACAUAAGCCAGUAACACGCACUACUAUCAAUUUUAAAAAAGAAAUCAUUAACUUGUAACACCUAAAAACAACAUCCAAUAAAUUCAUGUCUCAAUUUUUCAGCGAAAUUUCAUCGAAAAAAUACAAUCCACCACCGGUCAGCACCAUAUAGCCACCGUCUAUGUCGAAUAAAAAAACAUGCAUUGGCGAACCACAUCGCACCGCUAGCUCCAACCACCUUCGACCUAAUCUCCACUCCCUCCAACCCGCAAACACCAACGAAUAGCAUUGAUCAAUCACUGUAAUUUGAUUGUGCUUCAAGUUUAAAAGAAAAAUAGAGAGAGUAUUGAAUUUGAAACAAAAAUAGAAAUUGGAUCGAGUUGGUCUGCAAAGGUUCAAUGGGUUUAUUGAGUUGAAUAGGGAGUUUGAAUUAAUUAUUUUAAAUAAAAAAUUAAACGAAAAAGAAACAAAUAUAUCCCAGAAUUAUGAUAAAUAAUACGUAUAAAUAAUACGUAUAUACUCUACAUUAUACUUUGUGUACAUAUAUGUCCCUACCGUUAGUGUCAGAGAUAUACAUAUAAUUUCAUUAACGAAUAUAUACGUAUCAUUUAUCAUAAUCCCAAUAUAUAUUUACUCUUUUUCCGUACAAUAAAUAAGGAACACAAACUAACCGUCCACCCUGGAAAGUCUACCAAGGUACUACUACCAAUUACUAACAAGACAAGGAGUGGUAUUUGUUAUAGUUUGAGGCUUAGCUUUACUAGCCGAAGCUCCUGGACUCAAAAUCUAUCUUCCAAGACCCACAUCCUCAUUUCGUUGUCUCCGUCAAUCAGCCAUUAGCGUAUGUAAUUAAUUUGCGUAGUGGCAUGUUCGUAUCAGUGGUGAAACCGAGAUAUUUACUAAGGAGUUCAUAAGUGAACAAAUGAAUUAACCAAAGAUGGUCAACAUCUAAUAUAUAUACAUAAAAUUUAAUUUUAAUCAUGUAUAUAUAGCAUAAUUUUUUGUCGAUCUGAACCCCCUCGGCAAAGGGUAGAUCCGCCACUGGUUCGUAUAUUUUACGCGGACCCUUAAUGAGUCUAAGAUUAGAUAUUUGGUUUCAUCAACACAUUCUUCGUACAGACUGCAAAUAAAGAAAAACGGAGAAUGAAAUUGGCAAGCUUGUGACGUGACUAUAUGAAAGCAGUAAUGGUCCUGCAAGUGAAGUGAUGAAGCGGAUGAUUUCAUAAACUUCAAAAGAAAAAAAGACAGAGAAAUAAUACUGGAUAAUGUCAUUACAUAAGCACGGGAAACAAUCCCUAAGAUCGAAUACAUUUGAUUAUAUCAGAGUUCAGUAAGUGCUGAAGCCAAGUUGAAAUUAUAUGCCCCGUAUUGCAUAAAGCAUAUAAAGCUGAAAUGCGUUUAAGAUAUACAAUCCACUUGUUGCUAAUCUUACAUCCAAAACCUUUAUGUAGAUUUGAAUACCAAAAUCAAAACUUCCAAAACCUUUAUGUAGAUUUGACCAUAAAAGAAUAAUCUUCAUAGGUUAAGAUUCCUUUUUAGAAGUUUUGAUAAAAUAAAGAAAAAAACCGCACUCUCCCUUAGGAGCGGAGCCAGCCUCAGAAAAAUAUAUUAUUUAUACGUGAUUAAAAUUCAUUUUUAUAUGAUUAUAGUAAAUGUUAAACUCCCUUUAACUAAGUUUUCUUUGAAUAUAAAACCCUUAGUUAAAAUCCUAAUUUUUUUAAUUUUUUUUUUGAAUAUGAAUCUCCUUCAUUAAAAUCCUGAUUCCGCCUCUGCUCUCCCUAGUUAAAAAACAUCACCCAAUCUAGAGCCUAAUUACAAAAAAAAAUAGUGUUCUUCUAUGCUUCCCUUUAGAUCUACGCUUCCCUUCAGAUUAUUUAAGAAAGUGAGGACUAAUCAAAUCAAUUAUCUCAAGGAACUCAACACGCUUCUUUCCAUCAAAAAUCUCAUCACAAAUUAUGACCUCCUUGUUUUGAGGAUCCUAUAAAGGCCCGUAAAAGAAAGAGUCGGCAGCGCAAAGAGUGGAGAUACGCUAUCAGAAAGCAUUCCCUUCUUUUCACCAACCUCUCGGAUAAACCAUAGAGAGCAUCAUGUUAGAUAUCAACACUAGAAAGCUAAAGCCAGAUUACACACCCAACACAAUGCAACAAAAGAUUUGACAUACUAAUUACAGUACUACAUAGACCGGUAGAAGACAGCAGUCCAAAUGCGCUAAGCAUUCCAAAACUUCCAAUAGAUACUUAAGAUGGCAUCUAGGUAGACAAAGGUAGCAAAUCAGAAGCAUGCAAAAAGCCAGCAAUUGUGGCAAAGAACAUAGAUUAGAACCAGUAUAUUCUUUCUCAACAUAUAUACCACUAGAUAAAAUUUCCGGUGUUAAAGUAAGCAUAUCGAAUGAAAAUAACAAAUUUACAUCUUUGUUCAUAGAAGAGACGAAAUGAAGCUCAACCCACGAAAACAUUAAAGAUCAAUCGAACAACUACAAACAUGUAAAAGAAAAAACUGCAUCAAUAGCCAUUUCAGAUAAGAGUGAGCAACUACUUCAGUCAAAUGUUAAAAUUUAUGCCACAUGGAAAGGAUGUUGCAACAAGGUUUCACCGGGAUUCGCUUUAAAGGAGAGUGAAAAUUAGGGGCCAGAAAAACUCAAGACAUACUAAUUCAAGGGAAGGAAAAGAGAACCAGAAAUCUUAAAUAAAUGUAAAGGAAAUUAUUCAUUAAUCAAGCUCAUACAACAAUUUCUUGUUUACAACUACAAAGCCAAGACCCACAACUUAGAUAAUUACACACACACAAUUCAGAUUACACCAAACACAAUAGACAAAGGACUUUCAACAAAAACAGCUGAUCUGCAUGCACUUGUUUAACCAGAUAUGUCAAUUGCCUUGACCUCAGGUUUCUUCUCCUCUUCUUUCGGAACUGUUACAGUGAGCACUCCAUCCUCCAUAGCUGCCUUAAUUUCCCCUGUUUUCGUAUUCUCCGGCAGCCUAAAUCUCCUCAAAAACUUGCCACUGCUCCUCUCCAUACGGUGCCACUGAUCAUUCUUCUCCUCUUGCUCUCUGCUCCUCUCACCGCUUAUCUGUAGUAUCCUUCCUUCUUCAACUUCGACUUUCACUUCCUCUCUCUUGAUCCCCGGAACGUCUACUUUGAAGAUGUGCGCUUGUGGGGUCUCUUUCCAAUCGAUUCUUGCAUUUGCGAAAGCAGAGGUUUCACGAGCAGAGGAGGGGGUGUUGGCGAUUGUGCUUGAAAUUGGGAAGCCUUCGAACGGAUCCCAUAAGUCGAGGGAGAAUGGGUCGAAGAUGUUGCUCCUGCGACCACCGAAGAAGCUUGGAAUCAGAGACAUUUUUUGGGGACUUUGUCGUUUGAAGAAGACAAAAGAUGAACUAUUACAGAGCUUGAAUUUUUCUUUGAUUGUAGCGUUUAAUAAUUUGCUGAUGACCAAUGAGAGAAGAUGUCGUGAUAUUUAUAGGCGAUGAUGAACCAAGAAACUUAAUGUAAUUGGAGUGUAAUCUAGGAUGUUCUCAGAGUAUUCGACGAUAUUCCCCACAAAGCUAUCAAAUUCGAGGCUAAUCUAGGAUGUUCGUCGGUUGAUUUUUGAUAAGAGAAAUAAGAAGCUUCUACACUAUUCCAGAUAUUUUUUCUGAAGGGUCACUGCACAUUUUUGCUCGUGAAGUCAUAAGGUCGAUUGUAUUCGUCUUAAAUUAAAAAUGGAACGAAAGAAAUAUAUAAUGACUUGACGCUCUUACUAUAUUCGGACUUGUUUCGUCAAUUUGGAUCCUUCUAUUCAUUACAUUGCCAAUUCAAUUCUUAAAUUCAACAAAAUCACAUAUGUAAGCAAAUUAAAAUAAAGAGAUUAAUUUUAGAAAAAAUUACAGAAAUUAGUAUCCUUAAGAUUAUAAUUACAAUAAAUAGCAACACUUUUUUAAAAUUAUAACUAGCAAAAGUAGCAAUAUUUUACUUAUUUCAUAGUAAUAGAACAAUAUGUAUUUUUCAAUUGUGCAUAUAUAUUUAUGAGUAAUAUAUAUAUAUUUGUAUAUGUAUUUAUAUAGCAACAUUUUACUUAAAUACAAAUACAAUUUACUAUUUUUCGUAAUUAUAAAACUGUUGCUAUAAAAGUUAUAAUUAAGGUUUAGAGUUACUAUUUCUGAAACACUUCCAUUAUAGGAGCUCUUAGAUUGAGUUGAAAAUCACCAAAACAAUCUGGCAGCUCAUAAUCGAUAUGUCUAUUUCAUUUAAUUCAAUCAUACUUUUAUUAUAUUAUUUUUAAUUAAUUAUUAUAAAUUAUUUAUAUAUUCAAAAUUAAUAAUAUUUAAUGAAAAAAUAAAAUAGACAUAUAUAACAUAUUUGUUUCUUCAAUUGUAAUUUUAUUAUAUCACUCCUAACUAAGUAUUAUAAGUCAUCUAUAUAUUAAAAAAUAAUAAUAUUUUAUAAAAUAUAAAAUAAACAUAAAAUAAUAAAUUAAUGUUUGAUGUUUUAAAUUAAAUUGACGUCUUAUAUUGAAUCCACUUAAAUUUUUUUCACAAGUAUUUAAUUUUUUUUAUAUCAUUUGUAACUAAUUAUUAUAAUAAUUUAAAACAUAUCUAAUUCGCUGCUUUAAUCGUGAUUUUACUAUAUCAUCCCCUAAUUAAUUAUUAUAAAUUAUUUAAGUAUUAAAAAAUUAAUAUAAUUUCAUAGAAAAAGUAAAAUAUACACAAAAUAAAAGUUAACUCUUAAUAUCUUAAAUUAACGUGUCGACUUAAAUAAGAUUCAUUUAAUUUUUUUUAUAAAUAUUUUUUAUAAUAGUUUUUUAUAUUACUUUUAAUUAGUUAUUAUAAUUCAAUUAAAUAUUAAAAAAUAAAUACUAAUAUUUAAUAACUGACACAAAAUAGAUAUAAAAUACUCCCUCCAUUUUAUUUUACGUGUCAUAAUUUGACUAAGGAUGGAGUCUAAAAAAUAAAAAAAGACUAUGAUUUUUUUAUCAAAUUGUCUUCUAUUAAAAAAAAUGUACUACUAGUAUCUUUAAUUAAGUGGAACCUCAUAAGUUGUACCAAUAAAGAUAAAAGUGAAAUUGUAUCUUUAAAUAAUUAUUAAAUAAGAAAAUAUGCAUUCUUUUUUAUAUAGACCCAAAAAAAAAAUAACGAAACAUAAAAUAGGAUGGAAGGAGUAACAAAUUAAAAAUGAUUGAAUGAAGUAUUUUGCAACGGUAAUAUCUGUGUCAAAAACGACUUACUAAUAUCUAAAUGAUUAAAUUUAAACAAAAUAUUAAAUACAUAGUUGCGAAUUAAGAACUGAAUUAUCAAAAUUUAUUUUUUAUUAGACAUAAAUGAAGCAUAAAAUACGUAAAUAAGGGAAUUAAUUUUUUGUUACUAUUUUAUCAUUUCAAUUCACUUGACAACAUUUAAUCAAGCAUGGAGUAGAAAAAUAAAAUGCUUUUGAAAUUCGUAAAUAAAUAAACGUUAAAUUUUUUACGAUCAUAAAAUAUUUUAUCAAAAAAUAAAACAAAAAUUGUAAAAAUAAAUUGUUUCUUCUCAUCACUCACUACAUGCCACUAUUUACUUACAAUAAAUAGAAAUUAUGUUAGGAACACAAAAUAACCGUCCACCAUGAGAAGUCCAACAAGGUACUACAACCAAAUACCGAACAAAUAGUAGUAGUAUUUGUUAUAGCUCUCGAGGCUUGAGCAUUUCUAGCUGAAGCUCCUGGACUCAAAAUCUACCUUCCUAGACCCACAUCCUCAUUUCGCGGUCUCCGAUUUUGUAAUCCAAAUUUAGUUGAUUCGAUUCUGAAAAGAUCGCGGUGCAACUCACGGUUGAAAUUUUUUGAGGGAUCUGUGAUGGUAGUGUAUUAUAGAAGUGCGACUUAAAGGAUUGAUUUUAAUAUAAUAGUUCUCGUGUGUUAUUAAGAACUUUUACUCCUCCCACUCUUCGAUAUAAUGAAUUCCUCCUCCUCUCUAUGAUUUUUCUCAUCAAAGAUUUUCACUUAAAUCUAUGUGUAUUCAUCUUAUUUUUCUUUUGCUUAUCAUAUUGCUUAUUUAUGUUUGAUUUCAUAUUACUUAAUUUGCAUAGUGGCAUGUUCGUAUAUUUUACACGGACCCUUCAUGAGUCUUGAGAUUUGGAUAUCUUCAAACAAACAGACACUGCAAUAGAGAAAAACGGCAAGCUAGUAACGUGACUAUAUGAAAGCAGUAUUAGACCUGCAAGAAAAGUGAAGGAGCUGAUGAUUCCACAAACUUCAUAAAAACAAAGAAAUAAUACUGAAUAGAUUCACUACAUUUGGCCAUGUCAGAGCUGCAGCCAAGUAGAAGUUGUACUAAAUAUGCCCCACAACAACUCACUUGGCUACUAAUUCUGCAAUCCAAAAACCGUCACACAUAUAAAUCCGAUUACCAAAAUCAAAACUUUAACAGGAAAGUAAUCCUAUAGGUUAAGGCUCCUCCAAAGAAGUUCAGAUAAACUUGUUGUCUUUCACAAGAAUAUGUAAUUUAACACAAUAACUUUAAUAUUAAUUCAAGUUUAAAACAAUAACAUUAUAGAGUUAAUCUUUUUAAGAAAUAUAUAUUUUUUCAGAAAUUUAGAUGAAAUAAAAAUAUAAAGCCAAAUCCCCUAACUUCACAGAAGUUCCUUAAAAAAUAAUUCCCUUCAUUUUAUCCAAAAUUUUUUUAGAAUCUUCCUUAAAAUGACUUUCAAUUCACUGUACCCAAAGUUUUAGAAUCUUCCAAUUAUAAUAAUACCUCAGAUAAUUAAAUUCGUCAAACUCAGCGAUUUGAUUGAUCACAACAAAUAUUUUGAAGACAAAAAGUUUGUAUUUCAGAAAAAAAAAAAUUCCUACCAAAAUCUGUUGAUAAAUGCAGAUUUAUAUAAUCAUCAAAUGCCCCUUCCAAAAAAUGAUAAUGAUUCAUCAAACAAUGUGUAUCCUUUAAAAAAUCAUGUCUGUUCAUUCAAAACAUUUUUUUUUAAACAGACACAACUAUCUGAACAAUUAUUCUUUUACAAAAGAAUUGUGUCCCUUUAUUUUUUAUUCACACCAAUUAAACCCAACAAAACCAACAAAACUAAAUUAACAAAGCACCCUUCACCCAAGUAAAUAUUAUCAGCCAAUUUAGAGCCUAAUUUAGAAAAAAAAAAAAAAAAAAAAAAAAGGAAGGUGCUCCUGCGACGCUUCCCUUUAGAUUCGUCCCUUUAGAUCAUUUUAAGGAAGUAAGGACUAAUCAAACUUAUCAACCCAACAAUAUAUAGAUAGGUGUUAACUCCAUAAUAAAAGAACAAGUAGGAUAAUGCAAUUAGAAAGAGUUGGCAACGCAAACAGUGGAGAUGCACCAGCAGAAAGCAUUCCCUUCUUUUCACUGACCUCCCCAGAUAAAUUAUAGAGAUAACAUCAUGUUAAAUAAAUAUCAACACUAGAAAGCUAAAGCCAGAUUACACACCCAAUACAAAGCUACAAAAGAUUUGACAUACUAAUUACACUAAAUAGACCGAUAGAAGACAGCAGACCAAAUGCACCAAGCAUUCCAAACUUCCAAUAGAUGCUUAGGAUGGCAUGGCAUCUAGGUAGACAAAGGCAGCAAAUCAGAAGCACGCUAAAAGCCAGCAAUUGUAGCAUAGAAUAGAUUAUAUUCUCUCUCGACAUACUACUAGAUAAAAUAUCUAUCAAAUUAAAAGAACAGUCCAGCGUACUAGUAAAUAUAUCAACUAUAACUUACAAAAUCAUAAAAGUCGCACAAUAAUUUCAUUGAAGCUUGAUACUUCGUAAGUGAAUGAAAUUAGACAAACAUAUAUCUUUGUUUAUAGAAGAGAAGAGUAUGAAAUGAAGCUCAACACACAAACAUGACAAAGAUCAAUCGAACAACUACAAACAUGUGGAGAGUGAGCAACAACUUUAGUCAAAAACAUACAAAUGCAAGGAAGGAAAAAGAGAAACAACAAUUUAAAAUAAAUGCUAAAAGGAAAUUAUUCAUUAAUCAAACUCUCACAACAUUUUCUUGUUUACAACUCCAAAGCCAAGACCCACAACUUAGACAAUUACACAGACACAUAAUUCAGAUUACACCAAACAUAACUUACUAAGGACUUUAAAACAACAGUUGAUCUGCAUGGACUUGUUUAACCAGAGAUAUCAAUUGCCUUCACCUCAGAUCUCUUCUCCUCUUCUUUAGGAACAGUUACAGUGAGCACUCCAUUCUCCAUAGCUGCUUUAAUUUCCCCCAUCUUCGUAUUCUCCGGCAGCCUAAAUCUCCUCAAAAACUUGCCACUGCUCCUCUCCAUACGGUGCCACUGAUCAUUCUUCUCCUCCUGCUCUCUGCUCCUCUCACCGCUUAUCUGUAAUAUCCUUCCUUCUUCAACUUCGACUUUCACUUCCUCUUUCUUGAUCCCCGGCACGUCUACUUUGAAGAUGUGAGCUUGUGGGGUCUCCUUCCAAUCGAUUCUUGCAUUUGCGAAAGCAGAGGUUUCACGAGCAGAGGAGGGGGUGUUGGCGAUUGUGCUUGAAAUUGGGAAGCCCUCGAACGGAUCCCAUAGGUCGAGGGAGACUGGGUCGAAGAUGUUGCUCCUGCGACCACCGAAGAAGCUUGGAAUCAGAGACAUUUUUUGGGGCUUUGUUGUUUGAAGGAAACAGAAGAACGUUUAAUAAAAAGCUUGAACGAAUAUUUCUUUGAUUGUAGCGUUUGAUAUGCUUGAAAAUUACUUGGUGAAGACGAAUUAGAAGUGGUGUCGUGGUUUUUAUAGGCAAUGAAUGGAGAGAUUUAUGCGAUGGGAGUGUAAAAAA